UAGGCCCAUGAUGUCAACUGGUGGCAAAUGAAUUACAGACAAUGAAUACUGGGUGUCUGUUACUCCCAGCACAAA
Bison bison bison is the source of this 75-nucleotide small nucleolar RNA. Lineage: Eukaryota; Metazoa; Chordata; Mammalia; Artiodactyla; Bovidae. The record is from Ensembl.